UUUUGGAAUGGAGGGAGUAUU
RNAcentral lists this microRNA (21 nucleotides) under Corchorus olitorius. RNAcentral describes it as "osa-miR14". The record is from RNAcentral. Lineage: Eukaryota; Viridiplantae; Streptophyta; Magnoliopsida; Malvales; Malvaceae.